CUGCAACCAUUCCUCUGUAUAGAAACAUGCAGACAACACAACUCGCAUUCAAGACAGAUAAAUCAAAUUACAAAAUCAAGCCUGAAUACCCUAAAAAUAACUUUAUUUUGAAAAGCCUUAAGAAAAAAAAAUACUAAGAUGUCAUAUUGUACAAAAAUAAUAAUAACAGAUCACCACCCCCAGGUAAAAACAGAGUACAAUACUGAAGUUUCUUUUCUCAGGUAUAAUUUACUUUUAGUAGCAGAUCUUAAAAUCAAACGUUUUUAGCUAUUCAAAAGUAGUAAAAGCAGAGGACAGAACAGUAACGAUACAGUAUUAAAGGAAACACAAUAGUGAUCAAUAUUCCUUCGGCAAUUGAGCAAAUUUCAGGUCUUUUGAGCACAAACUUGAACAUUGUGAAAAUUCUGUGCAACUUCUGGCACGCGUUUACUGUGAACACUGAGGCUGUACCUGCUUUAAGUUACAGUUUUACUGUGAACACUGAGGCUGUACCUGCUUUAAGUUACAGGUUUACUGUGAACACUGAGGCUGUACCUGCUUUAAGUUACAGUUUUACUGUGAACACUGAGGCUGUACCUGCUUUAAGUUACAGUUUUACUGUGAACACUGAGGCUGUACCUGCUUUAAGUUACAGUUUUACUGUGAACACUGAGGCUGUACCUGCUUUAAGUUACAGUUUUACUGUGAACACUGAGGCUGUACCCUCUUGAAGUUACAGUUUUACUGUGAACACUGAGGCUGUACCCACUUUAAGUUACAGUUUUAAGUGGUCAAGUAGGCUGCUCUGGAUAUUUGAUCAUAAUAUAGGCCUACCAGAGUAGCCUACCAUCAAAAACAAUGGAGAAAAUGCAUCCCAUAAUAUGUUAAGAUGGAAAUAGCCGUUCUAUCGUUCAACCUACAGUAGCAGUCAAUGUGUGGUGUUCAAUGCAGGCCUACAUUCCAUGACACUGUUGAAACAAACAUGCCGGGAUUGACAACCUGUUCAUCCACUUGUCCUUUAGACAAGGAGGUGAAUGAACAUGUUUUUGUGUUGUUUGAUGCAAGAAACCGCUUGACAAAAUUAAAUGCAUUAUUAUUCCCAUACCAUUAUUACAGAGAAUCAGACAAAUUAUUGCUACCUUCCACUUAUUUGCUACUUAGCUUAUUCAAGCAUGUCUCAAAAUUCAACACUGCCCCUUUAAGACCGAAUAUAGGGAUACCGCAGCUCUGAUUGGUUAUGGCGCACCGGUCGGUGUAGAGUAUGGGCCUGUUUCGUGCCUGAUGUCGUGCCUGUCAAUACAAUAGAUUCCUACUCCAAUUCUCUCUGCCUACAAGAAAAUCUCUUGCAUAGUUUGUUUUCUUUCAGUGUGGUUGCAUUGAAAAUGGCUAAUAUUGCGUUGAUUCAAUCCUAAUUCGCACAGUAAAGGGAAACGCUGAUAGUGUUAACUAAAAGGGAAAACUAGACAGUUCAAUCUCGUACAUCUCUGCGCGGGCUGAGGUCCCGGGAAGCCGUGCGCCCACGCAGCUUAUAGGGAACAUUGAUAAUAAUAACAUAAUAUUUACAGUAACGGAGUAAAUAGGAAAUGGAAAUCAACUUUAAUGUCAGGUUUCCCAGACACAGAUUAAAGUUAGGCUUAGUUUAGUACUAAAAAAAAUCUGCUUAAAUGGAAAAUCUCCAUUGAAAUACCGCUUUAGUCCAGGAUUAAUCUAUGUCUUGGGAAAUUAUCUCUAAAUAUCAAAUCGCUUUUAAAUAAACCCACUGUAGACUAUUGAUUACUUCUACUGUCAUCUCUGUAGAUCAAGUAUCAAUCUCUCAAAAGUCCUCUCUCCUCAUCUCACUCUCUUCAUCACCCCCUCCACACAAAAAAAAGGACUAAAACAUGAAAAUGAAAUCUUCAUCUAUGUAUAUUAAAAUGCAAAAAUAUAAAAUAGUUUGUAGAUCUUUAUUUCAUUCUGAACAGCUGUUGGGUCUAAUGACCACAGAGAUCUGAGAACUACAGCUAUGUUCUAAUGGAUUGGCACACUUGAAAUAAUUCACAAUUUCUUCUAAAAAAUAAGUUGAUAUUGAAAAAAAAAAAACUGCGCGUUCAUAACUGCGCGUUCAUACGUAUAUUAGUUUGAUUAACAACUGCACAGGACCAAGAAAAUAAAAGUCACUUCAAAGUCAGAAAAUGGCCUGGACUAAAGUAUUCCAAAUCCAUUUGGUUGGAGGCAGGUGAUUAUCUUUAUAAGGUGUAAUUUUAUCUCCCCAACCAGUCUCAACCAGUCCCAACCAGUCUCAACAUGCUUAUAGUACUGACAACACAACCAGUCUCAACCAGUCUCAACAUGCUUAUAGUACUGACAACACAACCAGUCUCAACAUGCUUAUAGUACUGACAACACAACCAGUCUCAACCAGUCUCUACCAGUCUCAACAUGCUUAUAGUACUGACAACACAACCAGUCUCUACCAGUCUCAACAUGCUUAUAGUACUGACAACACAACCAGUCUCAACCAGUCUCAACAUGCUUAUAGUACUGACAACACAACCAGUCUCAACAUGCUUAUAGUACUGACAACACAACCAGUCUCAACCAGUCUCUACCAGUCUCAACAUGCUUAUAGUACUGACAACACAACCAGUCUCUACCAGUCUCAACAUGCUUAUAGUACUGACAACACAACCAGUCUCAACCAGUCUCAACAUGCUUAUAGUGCUGACAACACAACCAGUCUCAACCAGUCUCAACAUGCUUAUAGUACUGACAACACAACCAGUCUCAACCAGUCUCAACCAGUCUCAACAUGCUCACAGUACUGACAACACAACCAGUCUCAACCAGUCUCAACAUGCUUAUAGUGCUGACAACACAACCAGUCUCAACCAGUCUCAACAUGCUCACAGUACUGACAACACAACCAGUCUCAACCAGUCUCAACCAGUCUCAACAUGCUCACAGUACUGACAACACAACCAGUCUCAACCAGUCUCAACAUGCUCACAGUACUGACAACACAACCAGUCUCAACAUACAGUACUGACAACACAACCAGUCUCAACAUACUCACAGUACUGACAACACAACCAGUCUCAACCAGUCUCAACAUACUCACAGUACUGACAACACAACCAGUCUCAACCAGUCUCAACAUACUCACAGUACUGACAACACAACCAGUCUCAACAUACUCACAGUACUGACAACACAACCAGUCUCAACAUACUCACAGUACUGACAACACAACCAGUCUCAACCAGUCUCAACAUACUCACAGUACUGACAACACAAUCAGUCUCACAGUACUGACAACACAAUCAGUCUCACAGUACUGACAACACAACCAGUCUCAACAUGCUUAUAGUGCUGACAACACAACCAGUCUCAACCAGUCUCAACAUGCUCACAGUGCUGACAACACAACCAGUCUCAACCAGUCUCAACAUGCUCACAGUACUGACAACACAACCAGUCUCAACCAGUCUCAACAUGCUUAUAGUACUGACAACACAACCAGUCUCAACCAGUCUCAACAUGCUCACAGUACUGACAACACAACCAGUCUCAACCAGUCUCAACAUGCUUAUAGUACUGACAACACAACCAGUCUCAACCAGUCUCAACAUGCUUAUAGUACUGACAACACAACCAGUCUCAACAUGCUCACAGUACUGACAACACAACCAGUCUCAACCAGUCUCAACAUACUCACAGUACUGACAACACAACCAGUCUCAACCAGUCUCAACAUGCUUAUAGUGCUGACAACACAACCAGUCUCAACAGUACUGACAACACAAUCAGUCUCACAGUACUGACAACACAACCAGUCUCAACAUGCUUAUAGUGCUGACAACACAACCAGUCUCAACCAGUCUCAACAUGCUCACAGUGCUGACAACACAACCAGUCUCAACCAGUCUCAACAUACUCACAGUACUGACAACACAACCAGUCUCAACCAGUCUCAACAUGCUCACAGUACUGACAACACAACCAGUGUCAACAGUACUGACAACACAACCAGUCUCACAGUACUGACAACACAACCAGUCUCAACAGUACUGACAACACAAUCAGUCUCACAGUACUGACAACACAACCAGUCUCAACCACUCUCAACAGUACUGACGAUAACAACCAGUCUCUACCAGUCUUACAAUACAUGUAUUGGACACAUGGAAACUGUAUAUAGACAAACGCGCACACACACACAAACAAACCUGUCUUACACACAGCUCUAACACACACCUGUCUUACACGCUCACAACACACACCUGUGUUACAAGCUCACACACACACCUGUGUUACACGCUCACACACACACACCUGUCUUACACGCUCACACACCUGUCUUACACGCUCACACACACACACCUGUGUUACAAGCUCACACACACACACCUGUGUUACAAGCUCACACACACACACCUGUGUUACAAGCUCACACACACACACCUGUGUUACAAGCUCACACACACACACCAGUGUUACAAGCUCACACACACACACCUGUGUUACAAGCUCA
Oncorhynchus tshawytscha (Chinook salmon) is the source of this 4489-nucleotide long non-coding RNA. The record is from Ensembl. Lineage: Eukaryota; Metazoa; Chordata; Actinopteri; Salmoniformes; Salmonidae.